CCCUUAGAUGUUCUGGGCUGCACGCGCGCUACACUGAUAUUUGCAACGAGUUACUACCUUGAAACGGGUGGUUAUACUUUGAACAAAUAUCGUGAUGGGGAUAGAUGCUUGAAAUUAUUCAUCUUCAACGAGGAAUUCCUAGUAAGCGUAAGUCAUCAACUUGCGUUGAUUACGUCCCUGCCCUUUGUACACACCGCCCGUCGCUCCUACCGACAGACCGUUCGGGCGAGCUACUCGGACUGGGCAUAGAAUGUUCUAGCCUGGAAAGUUUCGCAAGCCUAAUCAGUUGGAGGAAGGAGAAGUCGUAACA
This 310-nucleotide ribosomal RNA is filed under the name uncultured eukaryote. Its description in RNAcentral is "partial 18S ribosomal RNA". It matches the Rfam family "Eukaryotic small subunit ribosomal RNA", at positions 1470 to 1796 of the family's 1831-position model. The record is from RNAcentral.